GGCGCUGUAGCUCAGUGGUAGAGCGCCUGCCUUAUACAUGUGAGGUAAUGGGUUCAAUCCUCAGUACCA
Molecule: transfer RNA, 69 nt
Filed under: Ictidomys tridecemlineatus (thirteen-lined ground squirrel)
Lineage: Eukaryota; Metazoa; Chordata; Mammalia; Rodentia; Sciuridae
Description: Spermophilus tridecemlineatus (thirteen-lined ground squirrel) tRNA
Rfam family: tRNA
About the family: Transfer RNA (tRNA) molecules are approximately 80 nucleotides in length. Their secondary structure includes four short double-helical elements and three loops (D, anti-codon, and T loops). Further hydrogen bonds mediate the characteristic L-shaped molecular structure. tRNAs have two regions of fundamental functional importance: the anti-codon, which is responsible for specific mRNA codon recognition, and the 3' end, to which the tRNAs corresponding amino acid is attached (by aminoacyl-tRNA synthetases). tRNAs cope with the degeneracy of the genetic code in two manners: having more than one tRNA (with a specific anti-codon) for a particular amino acid; and 'wobble' base-pairing, i.e. permitting non-standard base-pairing at the 3rd anti-codon position.
Source: Rfam by way of RNAcentral